Molecule: long non-coding RNA, 968 nt
Filed under: Astyanax mexicanus (Mexican tetra)
Lineage: Eukaryota; Metazoa; Chordata; Actinopteri; Characiformes; Acestrorhamphidae
Description: lncRNA (ENSAMXG00005015841.1)
Source: RNAcentral
CGCGGGCUCACGAGCGUUUCGAAUGUUUUCAGCUGUUUUUAUUCAAACUGUUUCUGAUCUUCAGAGCAGGAGCAGCAGCUUCGUUUCCUGAGCGGAAAACUUCUCUACGACUGAAGAGAUUAUCACUUUAUACUCACUGUUUUAUUACCUGUAUUGUAUUUUAAUUACUGUAUUAUAUUACUGUAUUAUCUGUAUUAUCUGUAUUGUUCUGUUUUGAAUUCCUUUUUGCAGGUUACCCGGACCGUUACUGCACCCGUUGUGGAGAGCGACGCCCUGCGGUCGGACAUGGACUGGCGGAAGAAGAUCUGUGGGGUCCAUCCACUCGAGGUUUCCGGCCCCGUUGUGGAGAGCGACCCCCCACGUUCGGAUUUCGACUGCCGGAAGAAGAUUUUUGGAGUCCUUCCACUCGAGGUGGAUUCUGGUCUGGACACCAGUUCGGAGGACUCCUUCAUUCUCCAGUUCUUUCCUUGCACAGAAGGGUCUCCAGAGUCUUCUUCCCCAACAUCUGGACGGCAUGUCAACCCCCUUGUUCUUCACCCCACCGUGAUGCCUCCCAGUCCUCCACGUCCCGGGCCAGGUCAUAGAGUUACAGAGGUUGCAGAGGCAGUGCCCUCUCACCGGCUGGACUCUACUGGACCAGAGCCUGAGAGUCAGCCUGAGUCAGCUGCACAGCGUGUGGCUGACUUGGGCCUGGAUGUGGAGGAUGAUGGUCGUAGGCAGGACUGAGGCGGCGAGGAGGUGUUGGAGCCUGCUUCCAGCAUGCAGAUGGCGCCGCCGAGUCCAGCCGGAAUCUGAGGCAGUUCCUGCUGCACAGGUAAUAUUAUGUAUUGGAAUAGUGUGUCUUUAAAUGAUGGAUAGUGUUAUCAGAUUAUAGCAAAUAUGCAGUUUUGUUCUAUUGUUCAUUCAUGUGCAUGGAAUGUACAGUGAGUCCAAGAAAUAUUUGAUCCCUUGCUGAUUUUCUUUGUUUG